Molecule: ribosomal RNA, 631 nt
Filed under: Dentigloborotalia anfracta
Lineage: Eukaryota; Foraminifera; Rotaliida; Globorotaliidae
Description: partial small subunit ribosomal RNA
Rfam family: Eukaryotic small subunit ribosomal RNA (bases 1-436)
Source: RNAcentral
CUUACCGGGUCCGGACACACUGAGGAUUGACAGGCAAUAUUAAUUUUUAUUCGUAAAAAUUAUGUUAAAUAUGCUAGUCCUUUCAUGAUUAUGUGAUAGGUGGUGCAUGGCCGUUCUUAGUUCGUGGAGUGAUCUGUCUGCUUAAUUGCGUUUCACUAAGGGCCUAUAAAUUUACGUGUGUUGCGGCACUUUGACCCCUCUUUUAGAGCGCGCGUCUUAGUUUGCUUUGCUCGCACAAUUAGGUCCUGAAAGCAACGAACGUGACCGCAACCUCUUGUUGCCUUUAUACCAAACGCGUUUAAAAAUUUUUAAUUUUUUUCGCGAAAAAAGGCUUUUUAAACUAGAGGGACCGCUGUUACUUUCUUAAACCAGAGGAAGGUUGCGGCAAUAACAGGUCUGUGAUGCCCUUAGAUGUUCCGGGCUGCACACGUGCUACAAUGAUUAUUGCAGUGAGCAUCUCAUUUUUUACACACCGCAUGCGCGAGUCCGCUUAUUCUGUCUCUCGGGACUGUUUUAAGCGUGUAUCUCUGCGCGCGGUAAAGCCUGCUUCGAAAGUAAGUGGGUAAUCAAUUAGAAGUAAUGAUUUCCUUUUUUUUCAGCACAAAUAUAUACCGCGUUUAUGCCCGGGCUG